Molecule: long non-coding RNA, 1178 nt
Filed under: Homo sapiens (human)
Lineage: Eukaryota; Metazoa; Chordata; Mammalia; Primates; Hominidae
Description: novel transcript, antisense to AMBRA1
Source: RNAcentral
GGGUGUGGUGGUGGACGCCUGUAAUCCCAGCUACUCGGGAGGCUGCAGGAGGCUGAGAUGGGUGGAUCACCUGAGGUCAGGAGUUCAAGACCAGACUGGCCAACAUGGUGAAACCCUGUCUCUACUAAAAAUACAAAAAUUAGCUGGAUGAGGUGGUGGGUGCUUAUAAACCCAGCUACUCAGGAGGCUGAGGCAGGAGAAACGCUUGAACCUGGGAGGUAGAGGUUGCUGAGAUCACACCACUCACUGCACUCCAGCCUGGGCGACUGUGCUCUCUGUGCUCUCUGAAACAUGUGCUGUGUCCACUCAGGGUUAAAUGGAUUAAGGGCGGUGCAAGAUGUGCUUUGUUAAACAGAUGCUUGAAGGCAGCAUGCUCGUUAAGAGUCAUCACCACUCCCUAAUCUCAAGUAUCCAGGGACACAAACACUGCGGAAGGCCGCAGGGUCCUCUGCCUAGGAAAACCAGAGACCUUUGUUCACUUGUUUAUCUGCUGAGCUUCCCUCCACUAUUGCCCUAUGACCCUGCCAAAUCCCCCUCUGCGAGAAACACCCAAGAAUGAUCAAUAAAAAUAAAUAAAUAAAUAAAUAAUUCCAAAAAAAAAACGCUGGGCAUGGUGCCUCACACUUGUAAUCCCAGCACUUUGGGAGGCUGAGGCACGAGAAUCGCUUGAACCCGGGAGGUGGAGGCUGCAGUGAGCCAAGAUUGCACCACUGCACUCCAGCCUGGGCCACAGAGUGAGACCCUGCCACAAAAAAAAAGUAAAAAAUUAAACUCAUUAGUCAAGCAUGCUAGAUAUUUAUAAGUCCUAGUUAUCCUUGACUAUGUAAAACCCAGUAUUAUCAUACAUUAAAUAUCAGACACAUAUUACAUGUAGCAAUCAAUCUUAAAUGAAGACUGAAGACUUAGAUGGCAGCAAGGAAACUUAAAUUUACGCAAUUAUGAUUCGUGAUUCCAACUUUUCAAGGGGAUUAAGGAUGCUAUGACUGAAGACUCUAAUCCCUGUAAAUACCCAGGGCUCGCCUCACUCCUUCUUCCCUCUGUCAGCCCUUGUUUAUUUCCUUCAGAAUACUUGUUUCAGUCUAAAUUUCAAUAUUUAUCAAAUACCUAUACUCCCCACUGGAAUAAACUCCAUAAGGAGACCAUAAGAACACCUAUGUCUACCUUUGUAUCCCAACAUC